CCCUUCUUAUUUUACAAUUCAAUUUCUCUUCUUUCUGGUUCACCAAUCACCAUCAAUAUUGUAAUUAUAAUAAUAUGAAUAAUAAAUAACUAAAUUAUAGCCUCUAUGCAUAUUCACAAUUGCAUUAAUUAAAGCAUUGUUACCUGGACGUGAAGUGUUCCCACGCCGGCAGCCGCUUUGCGCAGGUAAGUUUCCACGACCUGAAAGAUAUUAUUCAUUGCGAAAAAAUCUGAAAAUUUUAUCCCCCAAAAUCUAAAAAAAUUAUCCACC
RNAcentral lists this long non-coding RNA (270 nucleotides) under Solanum tuberosum (potato). Its description in RNAcentral is "long non-coding RNA (STUB_LNC007992)". The record is from RNAcentral. Lineage: Eukaryota; Viridiplantae; Streptophyta; Magnoliopsida; Solanales; Solanaceae.